This is a long non-coding RNA of Gasterosteus aculeatus aculeatus (three-spined stickleback), 435 nucleotides long. The record is from Ensembl. Lineage: Eukaryota; Metazoa; Chordata; Actinopteri; Perciformes; Gasterosteidae.
ACCGACCGACCGGCUGGGAGAGGAAUUAGAUGUGAGGUGAUCGAUACGGGGUGUGUGAGAGAAAGGUCCAUGUGCGCCAGAACAUACUGAAAUGGACACGGCUGCCAACAACAUGGUGUUGGGAAGAUCCACUAUCUUUAAAGAGCACGUUUGUGGUUUCCCGCAUGGCGUCUCAUUGGUAUUUGUCUUUUCCAGCCACGACAACGAAGGCAGUGGCAACAACCCGCAACAAGAAGGACUUCCAAACAUUCACAUUAACAUUGACACAUCCCGAAAGAUUCGAUGUACCGAGUUGCACUUCUUCAUUUAAGCUCCCAGCUCCGCGGACAGAUCUGUGCAUUGAGUUCUGUGAAUUUGAGGAGUCAUAGGCCCGAAUCACAAUUAUCUAUUAUCCACGCCGCCGAGCAAACCAAAUUGAACUGAACUUCCUGUGAC